GAGCCCGUAGCUCAAUGGCAGAGCGUGGCGCUCUCUAUCCCGCCAAGGUGUAGGUUCGAUUCCUGCCGGGUUCG
RNAcentral lists this transfer RNA (74 nucleotides) under Patescibacteria group bacterium. RNAcentral describes it as "tRNA-OTHER". It matches the Rfam family "tRNA". From Rfam's summary of the family: Transfer RNA (tRNA) molecules are approximately 80 nucleotides in length. Their secondary structure includes four short double-helical elements and three loops (D, anti-codon, and T loops). Further hydrogen bonds mediate the characteristic L-shaped molecular structure. tRNAs have two regions of fundamental functional importance: the anti-codon, which is responsible for specific mRNA codon recognition, and the 3' end, to which the tRNAs corresponding amino acid is attached (by aminoacyl-tRNA synthetases). tRNAs cope with the degeneracy of the genetic code in two manners: having more than one tRNA (with a specific anti-codon) for a particular amino acid; and 'wobble' base-pairing, i.e. permitting non-standard base-pairing at the 3rd anti-codon position. The record is from RNAcentral.